Molecule: ribosomal RNA, 160 nt
Filed under: uncultured bacterium
Lineage: Bacteria
Description: partial 16S ribosomal RNA
Rfam family: Bacterial small subunit ribosomal RNA
Source: RNAcentral
UGAGGAAUAUUGCGCAAUGGGCGAAAGCCUGACGCAGCGACGCCGCGUGGAGGACGAAGGUCUUCGGAUCGUAAACUCCUGUCGAGCGGGACGAAGUCGGGACGGUGAACAGCCGUUUCGGUUGACGGUACCGCUAAAGGAAGCCCCGGCUAACUCCGUG